RNAcentral lists this ribosomal RNA (882 nucleotides) under Bathyporeia sarsi. RNAcentral's name for it is "SSU rRNA". It matches the Rfam family "Eukaryotic small subunit ribosomal RNA", at positions 39 to 754 of the family's 1831-position model. Lineage: Eukaryota; Metazoa; Arthropoda; Malacostraca; Amphipoda; Pontoporeiidae. The record is from RNAcentral.
AAAGAUUAAGCCAUGCAUGUCUAAGUCCAAGCUGUGUUUGACACGGCGAGACCGCGGACGGCUCAUUAAAUCAGUCGUGGUCCAAAUGGGCCAGUGUUAUGCUUACUUGGAUAACUGUGGUAAUUCCAGAGCUAAUACAUGCAACCUAUAUCCCGAAGGCGGGCUUUACUCUUGUAGUGGGUCUGUUCUGACGGAUGCUUUUAUUAGACCAAACCGCUGAGGGUGUGGGUGUUACGCUUCGGCUAGCGCUCAUGCUUGACUCGCUUAAUGGUGACUCUGGAUAACCUUUUUGACAAGCGCACGUACCCAUCUUUAGACGGGACGGCGCUGCCACUUUCGAGUGUCUGCCUUAUCAGCUAUCAACCGUUCGUUAUGUGCGACCGAUGGCUUUGACGGGUAACGGGGAAUCAGGGUUCGAUUCCGGAGAGGCAGCCUGAGAGACGGCUACCACGUCCAAGGACGGCAGCAGGCACGCAAAUUACCCAAUCCCAGCAACUGGGGGAGGUAGUGACGAAAUCUAACGAUGCGGGCGCCCUUUUUGGGGCCCCGCAAUCGGAAUGGGCACUUUCUAAAUAACCUGUUGAGAACCUACUGAAGGGCAAGUCUGGUGCCAGCAGCCGCGGUAAUUCCAGCUUCAGCAGCAUCUAUUAAAGUUGCUGCGGUUAAAAGGCUCGCAGUUGAAUGUCAGUAUCGAGCGCAGGUCAGGUGGACGUUGGGGUGUGAGAGCUAAAGGUUCUGAUCUUGGUUCAGGCUUGCUUGUUCCUCGUGAAGUUCCUUCUCACAAACUCCCGUCCGUGACAAGCCUCCUCGCUUGCGUACAUAUCGGAAUCGGAUCAUGGAGUGUGCGCAGUGGUGUCCCUUGGGGCAUUGCUCGCACGUUAA